Molecule: ribosomal RNA, 253 nt
Filed under: uncultured bacterium
Lineage: Bacteria
Description: partial 16S ribosomal RNA
Rfam family: Bacterial small subunit ribosomal RNA
Source: RNAcentral
UACGAAGGGGGCUAGCGUUGCUCGGAAUCACUGGGCGUAAAGCGCACGUAGGCGGAUCUUUAAGUCAGGGGUGAAAUCCUGGAGCUCAACUCCAGAACUGCCUUUGAUACUGAGGAUCUCGAGUCCGGAAGAGGUGAGUGGAACUCCGAGUGUAGAGGUGAAAUUCGUAGAUAUUCGGAAGAACACCAGUGGCGAAGGCGGCUCACUGGUCCGGUACUGACGCUGAGGCGCGAAAGCGUGGGGAGCAAACAGG